CCGCCCAUCUAGUGUAAAUGAAGUAAAGACAACACAAGCUCCGAGCCAAUCAGAGGAAGAGUGGUUCCCUAGGUUUAAGUUCCCCGCCACUUGUGAAAGAGCUCUCUAAAAUCUUCGGAGAAGUGCUGCUCGUUCUUAAAGCCGACGGUGGAGGGAGUCUACAAAAUUCUGGAGAAAUAAGUAGUUUCCGUGAACAAGUCUGUGAGAGAUUUUACAGAAGAAGAAGAAGUUUCCAUGAUCAAGAUCGAGAGUUUCAGAUCUGAAGUUGAGAUUCCGCUAAGUCAUCACAUCACACAUCCGUUUCGUUAAAUCACACUGAUAUGGAGUUAUAGUUCAUGUAAAGUAUGCUUGAUGCUUUAAGUACGCUUCGUCGAGCUUAGUUGCUUUGCAUAUAUAGUUUGUUGUGUUCGAGUGCGCUUUCCUGUUUUCAUUGGUCUCAGAGAGACUGGGUCGCUCCCAAGAGGCUGAGUGUUGCAUGACGAUGUAACUGGGAUCUCCGUCGU
Long non-coding RNA from Arabidopsis thaliana (thale cress), 503 nucleotides. RefSeq annotates it as other RNA. The transcript is spliced from 2 exons. The record is from RefSeq. NCBI's taxonomy places the organism in Eukaryota, Viridiplantae, Streptophyta, Magnoliopsida, Brassicales, Brassicaceae.